UNUGACUUGAGUGCAGAAGGGGAGAGUGGAAUUCCAUGUGUAGCGGUGAAAUGCGUAGAUAUAUGGAGGAACACCAGUGGCGAAAGCGGCUCUCUGGUCUGUCGCUGACGCUGAGGCUCGAAAGCGUGGGUAGCGAACAGGAUUAGAUACCCUGGUAGUCCACGCCGUAAACGAUGAGUGCUAGGUGUUAGGCCCUUUCCGGGGCUUAGUGCCGGAGCUAACGCAAUAAGCACUCCGCCUGGGGAGUACGACCGCAAGGUUGAAACUCAAAGGAAUUGACGGGGGCCCGCACAAGCGGUGGAGCAUGUGGUUUAAUUCGAAGUAACGCGAAGAACCUUACCAGGUCUUGACAUCCCGAUGCUAUUCUUAGAGAUAGGAAGUUACUUCGGUACAUCGGAGACAGGUGGUGCAUGGUUGUCGUCAGCUCGUGUCGUGAGAUGUUGGGUUAAGUCCCGCAACGAGCGCAACCCUUAUUGUUAGUUGCCAUCAUUAAGUUGGGCACUCUAGCGAGACUGCCGGUAAUAAACCGGAGGAAGGUGGGGAUGACGUCAAAUCAUCAUGCCCCUUAUGACCUGGGCUACACACGUGCUACAAUGGUCGGUACAACGAGUUGCGAGCCGGUGACGGCAAGCUAAUCUCUGAAAGCCGAUCUCAGUUCGGAUUGGAGGCUGCAACUCGCCUCCAUGAAGUCGGAAUCGCUAGUAAUCGCGGAUCAGCACGCCGCGGUGAAUACGUUCCCGGGCCUUGUACACACCGCCCGUCACACCACGAGAGUUUGUAACACCCGAAGUCGGUG
RNAcentral lists this ribosomal RNA (796 nucleotides) under uncultured bacterium. RNAcentral describes it as "bacterial SSU rRNA". It matches the Rfam family "Bacterial small subunit ribosomal RNA", at positions 636 to 1432 of the family's 1533-position model. The record is from RNAcentral.